GAAACAAAGGAGUCACUAGUUGAGGAACCUGAAGCCGAAAAGAACAUUUCUGAACAAGUUCCUGCGGUUCAGGAGGAACCCGUUAUUGACAACGAAUUGAUGAGUAAACCUACUGCUGAAAAUGAGCAGCCGAAGGUUCAGGAAACAAAGAGUUACUAGUUGAGGAACACGAAGCUGCAAAGAACAUUGCUGAACAAGUUCCUGCAGUUCAGGAGAGCUCCGUCAUUGUCAACGAAUUGAUGAAUAAACCAACUGCUGAUAAUGAGCAGCUAAAGGUUCAAGAAACAAAAGAGUUACUAGUUGAGGAACAUGAAGCUACAAA
Hibiscus syriacus is the source of this 322-nucleotide long non-coding RNA. RefSeq lists it as uncharacterized. The record is from RefSeq and is a predicted model, not a curated record. Lineage: Eukaryota; Viridiplantae; Streptophyta; Magnoliopsida; Malvales; Malvaceae. The transcript has 3 exons.